RNAcentral lists this ribosomal RNA (253 nucleotides) under uncultured bacterium. Its description in RNAcentral is "partial 16S ribosomal RNA". It matches the Rfam family "Bacterial small subunit ribosomal RNA", at positions 524 to 776 of the family's 1533-position model. The record is from RNAcentral.
UACGUAGGGUGCUAGCGUUGUUCGGAAUCAUUGGGCGUAAAGCGCGUGUAGGCGGUUUGUUAAGUCGGAUGUGAAAUCCCUGGGCUCAACCGAGGAAGUGCAUUCGAAACUAACUGGCUAGAAGAUGGUAGAGGAAGGUGGAAUUCCAAGUGUAGAGGUGAAAUUCGUAGAUAUUUGGAGGAAUACCGGUGGCGAAGGCGGCCUUCUGGACCAUUCUUGACGCUGAGACGCGAAAGCGUGGGUAGCAAACAGG